GCUCCGGGGAGCUGGCAACGAAGCUUUGAUCCGGAGAUGUCCGAAUGGGGAAACCCACCCUUCGGGGUAUCCUGGCCUGAAUACAUAGGGCCAGAGAAGCGAACCGGGUGAACUGAAACAUCUCAUUAGCUCGAGGAAAAGAAAUCAACCGAGAUUCCCAAAGUAGUGGCGAGCGAAAUGGGACAAGCCUGCACGAUUUAGCAGAACGGUUAAGAGAACGGAUUGGAAACUCCGGCCAUAGAGGGUGAUAGCCCCGUAUUUGAAAACCGAUUUGUGGAACUAGGCGUGCGACAAGUAGGGCGGGACACGUGUAAUCCUGUCUGAAGAUGGGGGGACCAUCCUCCAAGGCUAAAUACUCGUGAUCGACCGAUAGUGAACCAGUACCGUGAGGGAAAGGCGAAAAGAACCCCCGGGAGGG
This 418-nucleotide ribosomal RNA is filed under the name uncultured bacterium. Its description in RNAcentral is "bacterial LSU rRNA". It matches the Rfam family "Bacterial large subunit ribosomal RNA", at positions 75 to 535 of the family's 2925-position model. The record is from RNAcentral.